This 374-nucleotide unclassified non-coding RNA is filed under the name Hevea brasiliensis (rubber tree). Lineage: Eukaryota; Viridiplantae; Streptophyta; Magnoliopsida; Malpighiales; Euphorbiaceae. The record is from RNAcentral.
UUUGUAAUAAUAAAUGAUUGUGUUACAUGUUUUCUUGGCUUUCUUGCUGUUAAUUGUCUGUGUUUCAUCUUUAAUUUACAGCUUCUUCUUUUUGAGUAUAAAGUUGACAUUGAUAUCUAUGGUCAUUUUCCCAGUUUCUAAGUCAAAAUAUUCACCUUAUUGCCAUCUGAUUGAGCAUUGGAACAUUACAAACUAGUUAUUGGUGAGGUUUUACCAUAAACGCCAAAUUCCUGGUGAUAUUUCUUAGUCCAUAGAAUGUUCCCAGGACUAUUUUUCCGCUAGUUUCACUAGAUAUGCUUGAUUACUUGUGUUGGUGACUCUAUGUUUAUUGCAAUGGUUUCUGAUUUUUUUUGCAGGCUGCAUUACUACUAAGG